UACGGAGGGUGCAAGCGUUGUCCGGAUUUAUUGGGUUUAAAGGGUUCGUAGGCGGGGAUAUAAGUCAGCUGUGAAAUGCUUCAGCUUAACUGGAGAAAUGCGGUUGAUACUGUUUGUCUAGAGUGUUGAUGAAGUAACUGGAAUGAGUAGUGUAGCGGUGAAAUGCAUAGAUAUUACGCGGAACACCGAUUGCGAAGGCAGGUUUCUAAGUUACAACUGACGCUGAUGCACGAAAGCAUGGGUAUCAAACAGG
Molecule: ribosomal RNA, 253 nt
Filed under: uncultured bacterium
Lineage: Bacteria
Description: partial 16S ribosomal RNA
Rfam family: Bacterial small subunit ribosomal RNA
Source: RNAcentral